This 253-nucleotide ribosomal RNA is filed under the name uncultured bacterium. RNAcentral's name for it is "partial 16S ribosomal RNA". It matches the Rfam family "Bacterial small subunit ribosomal RNA", at positions 524 to 776 of the family's 1533-position model. The record is from RNAcentral.
UACGUAGGGGGCUAGCGUUGUCCGGAAUCAUUGGGCGUAAAGCGCGUGUAGGCGGCCAUGCAGGUCCGUUGUGAAAACUGGAGGCUUAACCUCCAGACGUCGACGGAAACCGCGUGGCUAGAGUCCGGAAGAGGAGAGUGGAAUUCCUGGUGUAGCGGUGAAAUGCGCAGAUAUCAGGAAGAACACCAAUGGCGAAGGCAGCUCUCUGGGACGGUACUGACGCUGAGGAGCGAAAGCGUGGGGAGCGAACAGG